CUGCCCCCUACCCAACCUGACCUCUGCUUCCUCUCUUCCCUUCUUCCCACCUAAACAUUCCUCCACAGUGGCAAUAGCAAAGGAAAAGACAUCAACACGAUUAAAUCCCUCCGAGUCCUCCGGGUGCUACGACCUCUUAAAACCAUCAAGCGGCUGCCAAAGCUCAAGGCUGUGUUUGACUGUGUGGUGAACUCACUUAAAAACGUCUUCAACAUCCUCAUCGUCUACAUGCUAUUCAUGUUCAUCUUCGCCGUGGUGGCUGUGCAGCUCUUCAAGGGGAAAUUCUUCCACUGCACUGACGAGUCCAAAGAGUUU
This 315-nucleotide long non-coding RNA is filed under the name Homo sapiens (human). Its description in RNAcentral is "non-protein coding lnc-STX10-4:1". The record is from RNAcentral. Lineage: Eukaryota; Metazoa; Chordata; Mammalia; Primates; Hominidae.